UACGAAGGGGGCUAGCGUUGCUCGGAAUCACUGGGCGUAAACGGUGCGUAGGCGGGUCUUUAAGUCAGGGGUGAAAUCCUGGAGCUCAACUCCAGAACUGCCUUUGAUACUGAGGAUCUUGAGUUCGGGAGAGGUGAGUGGAACUGCGAGUGUAGAGGUGAAAUUCGUAGAUAUUCGCAAGAACACCAGUGGCGAAGGCGGCUCACUGGCCCGAUACUGACGCUGAGGCACGAAAGCGUGGGGAGCAAACAGG
Molecule: ribosomal RNA, 253 nt
Filed under: uncultured bacterium
Lineage: Bacteria
Description: partial 16S ribosomal RNA
Rfam family: Bacterial small subunit ribosomal RNA
Source: RNAcentral